Molecule: long non-coding RNA, 1007 nt
Filed under: Serinus canaria (Common canary)
Lineage: Eukaryota; Metazoa; Chordata; Aves; Passeriformes; Fringillidae
Description: lncRNA (ENSSCAG00000016147.1)
Source: RNAcentral
CCCAACCCACCACUUCAAUCAAAGCACAGAAAAGUGCACAGCUUUUAUGUUGCACUCACAGUCGAGGAAAAUUAAGACCAGAAACCACCCAAGUACCAAAUGCAUCACGGUUUGUUUGGAGACUUCAGCAUCCUGAUUCCCUCCAGGCUCAGCCGCUUUCAAUGGGAUAAAUUGCACAGAGGAGUCCCUCCAACCCAGAGCUUGGUGCACACCAUCUGCAGGCAGCCACGGUGCUCUGUUCCCAAGCAGAGCUGCUUCCCUGGCAGGCUGUGACCUGUUGCAGGACUCCUCCUUGCCUGCCUGGAGGGGACAGCUCCACCUGGCUCAGCUGCAGGAGGAGAGGGGCAGAACCUGCAGGACAAUUUUCCCCGCGCACUUUGGACAGCAGCAUCCAAGCCACCAGGAAUAUUUGCUUGAUCUGCACAAAACCCAGAGGAAAAACUGGCUCUUACAGCCACCAGCUGCUGCUGCUGCAAAGGUUUAUAGCUGGAAUAAAGAGAGAACACAUCCUCCCUAAAGCCAGACGACAGCCCAACCCAGACAGAGGCAAGAAAUCAUCUCUGUCCACUAAGCUUUUUUGUCUUGCAGGAGAGGUGAAAUUGGGAAUACUGGAUCAGGUGGGAGAAAAGAACAACAGAGGAGAGGUAAAUAAAUAAACAACCACGGGGCCCAUGUGCCCAGGAGGCUCCUGGUAGCUCAUCCUUGCAACACACAUGCAAGUUUGUCCACAGAUGCAGCAAACAAAUUAAAUCAGCUUCACCAGUGAGAGCCUGACCUUUUCCAUCUCCCCCCCAGCAGAAAUCAGGCUCUGACAGGGACCAAAAAAAGGGUUAGAAACAGCAAAGAUGAUAAAGUCAGGCAUCAGAAGCACAGGGGGCUGAAGGGAGAAGACAGGCAGGUGAAAGGACAAGCCAGGAAAACAUGAAAUAUUGCAAGUCAUCCUCUGUGGCCAAAAUACCAGGAGAUAACCUGUCCCAAUAAACUCCUGGCAGUGGAGGGCGAGGCCA